RNAcentral lists this ribosomal RNA (377 nucleotides) under uncultured Planctomycetota bacterium. RNAcentral's name for it is "bacterial SSU rRNA". It matches the Rfam family "Bacterial small subunit ribosomal RNA", at positions 521 to 896 of the family's 1533-position model. Lineage: Bacteria; Pseudomonadati; Planctomycetota. The record is from RNAcentral.
UAAGACGAAGGUGGCAAGCGUUGUUCGGAAUCACUGGGCUUAAAGGGCACGCAGGCGGGAAGGCAAGCGUCUUGUGAAAUCCCCCGGCUUAACCGGGGAAUUGCUUGGCGAACUGCCUUUCUUGAGGCAAGCAGGGGUGCGUGGAACUCUUGGUGGAGCGGUGAAAUGCGUAGAUAUCAAGAGGAACGCCAGUGGAGAAAUCGGCGCACUGGGCUUGUUCUGACGCUGAGGUGCGAAAGCGUGGGGAGCGAACGGGAUUAGAUACCCCGGUAGUCCACGCCGUAAACGAUGCCUACUAGGUUGUGGGAGUUCUGACGCUCUCGCGGCCGAAGCAAAAGUGAUAAGUAGGCCGCCUGGGGAGUACGGUCGCAAGGCUA